GAACUGCGAAAAGUAAUGUGACCUGCAACCUUUGCGAAACAUCCAAUCUUUGAACGCAACAUGCACCAGCAUCUGUGCUGGUAUACUUGUUUGAGUAUGAACAUUAAAGAAAUUGAACAAUCAGGAGUGAUGUUUAAAAGGGAUAGAGAGCCUACUGGGAUAACAUCCACGAGUAGGUGAAACGGCGAAAUCAUCUCAAAUCAAGCAAGGAGACCCGCUGAAUUUAA
Molecule: unclassified non-coding RNA, 227 nt
Filed under: uncultured fungus
Lineage: Eukaryota; Fungi
Description: sequence contains ITS1
Rfam family: 5.8S ribosomal RNA (bases 1-100)
Source: RNAcentral